Molecule: ribosomal RNA, 865 nt
Filed under: Superstratomyces albomucosus
Lineage: Eukaryota; Fungi; Ascomycota; Dothideomycetes; Superstratomycetales; Superstratomycetaceae
Description: eukaryotic LSU rRNA
Rfam family: 5.8S ribosomal RNA (bases 396-544)
Source: RNAcentral
CAAACGUGAUGGUUUAGAGGAAGUAAAAGUCGUAACAAGGUUUCCGUAGGUGAACCUGCGGAAGGAUCAUUACCGAGUGAGGGCGCUCCGGCGCCCGCUGACCUCACCAUCCAUUGCCAUCGUAACACGUACGAGCGGGCUCGCGACGGCCGUGAGGCCAGAGCGACCCGCCACACACCAGUCGCCGUGGGCUCGCGAGAGCGACCCACCCCCCGACGCAGUGAGCCCAUCGCCGGGCGUUUCGGCGGUGGGAGUGAGCUGUGUCGGGGCGAAGCGUCCGGAAACGCCCCGGCGUGACUGCGUGCACGCCCCCCUGGUGCGAUGGCGCCUGUGGGGGUUCCUACCAAUCCAGUCGUCAGCAACGUCUGAGUCCUCAAGGGCUAAAUUUUGAAAACAACUUUCAACAGUGGAUCUCUUGGCAUUGGCAUCGAUGAAGAACGCAGCAAACCGCGAUAUGUGGUGUCAUUUGCAACGCUUGUCAUCGAAUCUUUGAACGCACAUUGCGCCCUCCGGUACUCCGUUGGGCACGCCCGUCUCAGCGUCAUUACACCCCUCAAGCUCCCGCUUGGUCUUGGGCGUGGUCCUCCCCGGACCCGCCUCGAAUCCGCGGGCGGGUCGCAUCAACCCCCUGGCGUUGCAGAGCCUCUCGAGCCUCGCCGCGGCGGUAGUUGCGUCCCAGCCCCACAACCGCCCCUCGUGGGCAGCGCCUCGCGGCGUACCAAGUUUGACCUGAGAUCGGGCGGGUAUACGCGCCGAACUUAAGCAUAUUACUCAGCGCAGGAAAAGAAAGCAACAGCGAUUGGGUCAGUAGCGGCGAGCGAAGCCCCAAGAGUCCGGUUUUGAAAGCUCCUUCGGGCGCGUUGUA